GAUGAACGCUGGCGGCGUGCCUAAUACAUGCAAGUCGAGCGAACAGACGAGGAGCUUGCUCCUCUGACGUUAGCGGCGGACGGGUGAGUAACACGUGGAUAACCUACCUAUAAGACUGGGAUAACUUCGGGAAACCGGAGCUAAUACCGGAUAAUAUAUUGAACCGCAUGGUUCAAUAGUGAAAGACGGUUUUGCUGUCACUUAUAGAUGGCUCCGCGCCGCAUUAGCUAGUUGGUAAGGUAACGGCUUACCAAGGCGACGAUGCGUAGCCGACCUGAGAGGGUGAUCGGCCACACUGGAACUGAGACACGGUCCAGACUCCUACGGGAGGCAGCAGUAGGGAAUCUUCCGCAAUGGGCGAAAGCCUGACGGAGCAACGCCGCGUGAGUGAUGAAGGUCUUCGGAUCGUAAAACUCUGUGAUUAGGGAAGAACAAAUGUGUAAGUAACUAUGCACGUCUUGACGGUACCUAAUCAGAAAGCCACGGCUAACUACGUG
Molecule: ribosomal RNA, 497 nt
Filed under: uncultured bacterium
Lineage: Bacteria
Description: partial 16S ribosomal RNA
Rfam family: Bacterial small subunit ribosomal RNA
Source: RNAcentral